AUGGCCGACGCCCAGCCGAAUUCCGGCGGCCUGGCCGUCGACCAGCCCGGAAAGGUGAAGAAGAAGGCGGCCAAGGCGCCAAGGAAGCCACGGUCGGAGUGCACGCCGGAGGAGAUCGCCAGGUUGGACGCGGAAGCGGCGAAGAAGAGGAGCCGGAGAGCGGCCGUCAAGGGCAAUGCCGCCGCGGCCAAGUUCGCCGCCGAGCGCGAUGCGAUUGAGGCCGCGCUGCGCAAGGCCGCGGCCGACGAGAAGGAGGACAUCGUCAACAAAGCGCACGCCCUCCUCAUGCUUAGCAUGGGCCGUCCGGCUGGUUUCACUACAGCGGCUGCCAGUCGCCGACGUCGCGGACGACGCCCAUGUCGUCCGGCUUUCUUCCGCCAAGGCACGACGGUCACACCCGUUUCUCGGGGUCGCCGGACGUUGGCUUGUUCGCGCCGCCCACACCGCGCCCCGCGGCCGUCAUCGACCUCAACGUCACGCUUGGGUCCAGCGGCGGCGGCCGGCCGUCCGUCAAGAUGCAAAGCAAGCAAGCACGGGUACCGUUCACGGGCACCAUGCCCCUCCCCCCGCGUGUUGUUUGACGGAAUGCCAACAGCAACGGCACCGGUCGACGACCCCUUCUGCAACCAGUACAUGGAGAACGUGAUCUUCGAGGCUGGGCACGGACGUGCCUACGACCCUGAGGAGACCCAAAGUCAGGAUGGCCGCGCCCAGUACGUCCCCGAUGAAGAGGCCGACGACCGUGCAGACUACGACCAUGGUGACUCGUGGCAUGAAGACGAUGACAUCUAUGUCGAAGGUGAUGGUGAUGAAGAAGAAGAAGAAGGCAAUGACGUUGAUAUUAGUGGCGCGCCAUUGUUCAUCGACGGGCUAACCCAAAGAGCGGAAGCACAAAAGAAGAGGAAGAGCAUUCGCACGGGUUCAUACACACAAGAUGAGGACAAGUUGAUUUGCCAAGCUUGGAUGGAGAUUAGCCAAGAUCCGAGGACCGGCGCGAAACAAAAGGGCAUUGUUUUUUGGACGAGAGUUCACAAAACAUUCCAUAAAAGAAAGAUGUUCGAGCCCUACCAAAUUACAAGCAACCGUGGCAUCGGCUCGAUUCAAAAGAGAUGGUUGUUCAUCCAACAAGAGUGCAAUAAGUACCAAGCCGCAUUUGAGAGCGUUGAAGCACGGCCCGUGAGUGGUCUCGGCGUUGGGGACACGGCAUGUCAAUCUUUGAAGGCAUUCAAGGCCCGGCACAAUGACAAGCCAUUCACUCUUACGCAUUGUUGGACGAUCAUCAACAAUUGCCCUAAGUUCAAGGACCAAUACCGUGAACUACAAAGGAAGAGAGGACUGAAGACGGCCAAGUUCGCCGGAGGUGGAGAUGGCGAGGCGUUGAAGAGGCCGAGGGGCAAGACCAACUCCAAGGUUGAUGACAUACGUGAUGCCUCAUCCAUGGCAUUGCAUGACACUUUGCAUGGCAUGAUGUCUCAAAAGGAUGUGAGGGACGAGAAGAAGCGGCAAAGCAAGGACGAGCAAAUGAAGCAAUACCUAGACCUUCAAAGAAAGAAGCUUGAGAUGGAGGAGGCGGCCAAGAAGAGGAAGAUCGACAUGGAGGAGGCGGCCCGGCAAAGGCAACUCGACAUGGAAGAGGCCGCCCGGCAAAGGCAGCUCGACAUCGAGGCCGACAACAUCAAGGCCAGGCAGAGGCAGCUCGACAUCGAGGCCACCAAUGCCGCCAACAAAGCGAAGGAGGUGGCCCUUGCGAUCAUGAGCGUGGACUUGUCGAAGAUGAGCGACAAGACGAGGGCCUGGUUCGAGGCCAGGCAGAAGGAGAUGCUCGACGCCGAAGGCCUGAACUAG
This 1845-nucleotide ribosomal RNA is filed under the name Triticum aestivum (bread wheat). RNAcentral describes it as "partial small subunit ribosomal RNA". The record is from RNAcentral. Lineage: Eukaryota; Viridiplantae; Streptophyta; Magnoliopsida; Poales; Poaceae.